GAAACGGCUAAUGUAGAAUGAGCCAUCUGAACAGGUUUGGAUUGGAGAGGGCUCACUGGAUCCUAAUCCUGGAGCUGGAUCAUUGGAUUCAAAUCAUAGGAAUGAAUAGGAUAGGGAGGAUGAAUAACCAGGAUUCAUGGAGCGGGAUCAGAUAACAAGGAACAUAGGAGUGGAUUCCUGCCCCAUCUAAACAGCAUUCAUGUGGAAUUUUUUUUUUUUUUUCACAUCAAUUGGCCAUUCCAUAGAAUUUUUUUUCCUACAAGUGAAGCCCUUAGGAUGCAAGAAGGCGCUUGCCUUUUUUUUUUUUUGUUGUGUAUUAAGAGCAAAGAGGAGACCUGAGGCACGCUGGAGCCAUCUCCUGGGAAGGAUACCACACGAAUAGAUGGUAAACUUAAAGGGCUAAUGGGUGGGCUAUAAAUUGAUCCAUUCUUAACAUCUAAAUUUUAGCAAAUGGGAGUUUUAAAAAAAAAAUUGUAGACAUCCCCUCCCCCCCUUCCUAAUUGGCUGCAUUUUAUUUGAUUUUUGAAACGAAAAUAAAUGGAUAAGUAAAA
Long non-coding RNA from Xenopus laevis (African clawed frog), 551 nucleotides. RefSeq lists it as uncharacterized. The record is from RefSeq and is a predicted model, not a curated record. The transcript has 2 exons. Lineage: Eukaryota; Metazoa; Chordata; Amphibia; Anura; Pipidae.